This 406-nucleotide ribosomal RNA is filed under the name uncultured bacterium. Its description in RNAcentral is "partial 16S ribosomal RNA". It matches the Rfam family "Bacterial small subunit ribosomal RNA", at positions 28 to 526 of the family's 1533-position model. The record is from RNAcentral.
GAUAAACGCUGGCGGCGUGCAUAACACAUGCAAGUCGAACGAAGUGGCGAACGGGUGAGUAACACGUGAGUAACCUGCCUUACACAAGGGGAUAGCCUUUGGAAACGAAGAAUAAUACCCUAUGGUUUAAGAUGGACUUGCGUCUGAUUAGCUAGUUGGUGAGAUAAAGGCCCACCAAGGCAACGAUCAGUAGCCGGCUUGAGAGAGUGGACGGCAACAUUGGGACUGAGAAACGGCCCAAACUCUACGGGAGGCAGAAGUGGGGAAUCAUGCACAAUGGGGGAAACCAUGAUGCAGCGACGCCGCGUGAUUUAGAAGGCCUUCGGGUUGUAAAAAUCUUUUUUAUGGGAUACAGUACCAGAAGAAUAAGGUCCGGCUAAAUACGUGCCAGCAGCCGCGGUAAUAA